Molecule: unclassified non-coding RNA, 531 nt
Filed under: Hevea brasiliensis (rubber tree)
Lineage: Eukaryota; Viridiplantae; Streptophyta; Magnoliopsida; Malpighiales; Euphorbiaceae
Source: RNAcentral
AUGGUAACGAGCACCAUUCCAAGCAUUCCUUCCCUUUCUGGGCUCUUCAAAGCCAAAGGAGACUUCAACUUCUUUAUAAUCAUCCUUGGUAAGAACUUCCACCUUGAAUACUCGCACUCGUCGUCCAUAUGUUUCGCCACAAUCCUGACCAAUGCGAUAAAGGUUUCCUUCAUACAAAAACGGUCUGCCUCCAUUUCUAGCUCCCAAGCUUUUGUCAAUGUUAUAAAUUGGAUUCUUCUUGUGUGGCUUCCAAGGACCCAGAGGUGAACUGCUAUGCCAGAUUUCCAGCUGUCCAUUUUUCUUAGUUCCAAAGCCACUAUGAUCUGAACCAAAAAGCCAGUAUUCUCCUCCAUGUUUAAUGAUAAAGGAAUCAACAAGUGGCUUUUUUAUAAUAACUUUCUCCAGCGUCCACUGCAGUGGAAAAUUAACUGCUCGAUAAAGGCGAAGUUCCCCCUUUGCACUGCCCUCAGGUAUCAUGUAUAUUUUGUCAAGAUGGUUGAACACAUAGGGAUAAGAGAGAUGCCAGUCCUC